GUGGCAGCCGCCGCGCUAAUACGAAGGGGGCGAGCGUUAUUCGGAAUCACUGGGCGUAAAGCGUGCGUAGGUGGCUUCGCAAGUUAGGAGUGAAAGCCCAGGGCUUAACCCUGGAAUUGCUCUUAAAACUGCAAAGCUCGAAUCUCGGAGAGGAUAGCGGAAUUUCCAGUGUAGCAGUGAAAUGCGUAGAUAUUGGAAGGAACACCAGUGGCGUAAGCGGCUAUCUGGACGAGUAUUGCCACUGAGGCACGAAAGCGUGGGGAUCAAACAGGAUUAGAUACCCUGGUAGUCCACGCCGUAAACGAUGUGUGCUUGUCGUUGGGAGGUUCACCUCUAAGUGACGCAGCUAACGCGUUAAGCCCACCGCCUGGAAGUACUGGCGCAAGUUAAAACUCAAAGGAAUUGACGG
RNAcentral lists this ribosomal RNA (409 nucleotides) under uncultured bacterium. RNAcentral's name for it is "bacterial SSU rRNA". It matches the Rfam family "Bacterial small subunit ribosomal RNA", at positions 505 to 916 of the family's 1533-position model. The record is from RNAcentral.